This 995-nucleotide ribosomal RNA is filed under the name uncultured bacterium. RNAcentral's name for it is "bacterial SSU rRNA". It matches the Rfam family "Bacterial small subunit ribosomal RNA", at positions 356 to 1376 of the family's 1533-position model. The record is from RNAcentral.
GGGGAAUAUUGCACAAUGGGGGAAACCCUGAUGCAGCGACGCCGCGUGGAGGAAGAAGGUCUUCGGAUUGUAAACUCCUGUUGUUGAGGAAGAUAAUGACGGUACUCAACAAGGAAGUGACGGCUAACUACGUGCCAGCAGCCGCGGUAAAACGUAGGUCACAAGCGUUGUCCGGAAUUACUGGGUGUAAAGGGAGCGCAGGCGGGCGAUCAAGUUGGAAGUGAAAUCCAUGGGCUCAACCCAUGAACUGCUUUCAAAACUGUUUUUCUUGAGUAGUGCAGAGGUAGGCGGAAUUCCCGGUGUAGCGGUGGAAUGCGUAGAUAUCGGGAGGAACACCAGUGGCGAAGGCGGCCUACUGGGCACCAACUGACGCUGAGGCUCGAAAGUGUGGGUAGCAAACAGGAUUAGAUACCCUGGUAGUCCACACCGUAAACGAUGAUUACUAGGUGUUGGAGGAUUGACCCCUUCAGUGCCGCAGUUAACACAAUAAGUAAUCCACCUGGGGAGUACGACCGCAAGGUUGAAACUCAAAGGAAUUGACGGGGGCCCGCACAAGCAGUGGAGUAUGUGGUUUAAUUCGACGCAACGCGAAGAACCUUACCAAGUCUUGACAUCCUGCGACGCACAUAGAAAUAUGUGUUUCCUUCGGGACGCAGAGACAGGUGGUGCAUGGUUGUCGUCAGCUCGUGUCGUGAGAUGUUGGGUUAAGUCCCGCAACGAGCGCAACCCUUAUGGUCAGUUACUACGCAAGAGGACUCUGGCCAGACUGCCGUUGACAAAACGGAGGAAGGUGGGGAUGACGUCAAAUCAUCAUGCCCUUUAUGACUUGGGCUACACACGUACUACAAUGGCGUUAAACAAAGAGAAGCAAGACCGCGAGGGGGAGCAAAACUCAGAAACAACGUCCCAGUUCGGACUGCAGGCUGCAACUCGCCUGCACGAAGUCGGAAUUGCUAGUAAUCGUGGAUCAGCAUGCCACGGUGAAUACGUUCCCG